Molecule: long non-coding RNA, 2487 nt
Organism: Lutra lutra (Eurasian river otter)
Lineage: Eukaryota; Metazoa; Chordata; Mammalia; Carnivora; Mustelidae
Exons: 3
Source: RefSeq, a predicted model, not a curated record
CAUAGGAAUGUAAAAUACUACAGAUACUAUGGCAAACAGUAUGGUGGUCCCUCAAAAAAUUAAAAAUAGAAUUGUCCAUGUGAUCUAGCAGUUCCACUUAUGGGUACAUACUCAACGAAACUGAAAGCAUGGGCUUAGGAAAUAUUUGCACACCCACGUUCAUAGCGGCAUUAUUCACAAGAGCCAAAAGGUGGAAGCAACCCAGAUGUGUAUCGAAGGACGAACGGAUAAAGCAAAGGUACUGUGAUUCUAACCAUGAAAAUUACCAUUUGUAUAUCAUCCCAGAAUGCUAUAAAUACACAUAAAUACCGGUAUCUUUUUUUCUCUGCCUGUACUCAAAUAAAUAAAUCAUACCCAUAUAUUUUGCAAACAUGGGACUGUACUAUGCACAAUGUUCUGCACUUUUUUUUGCCAUAAUCAUAGAUCAUGUUCAUCCUUCCAUGUCAUUAUCCGGAAAAACAAGACUUGGCAUGCUACUUUUAAGGGUGUUGUAAUAUUCUGUAGCAGGACUCGGCCAACUUUCUUAAAGGGCCAGAAAGUAAGUAUUUAGGCUUUGUAGGUCCAAAUGAUUUCUGUGACAACCACUCACCUCUGCUGUCAUCCUGCCAAAGUAGUCACAGGCAAUACAGAAACAAAUGGGUGUGGUUUUGUGCCAAUAAAACUUUAUUUACAAAAACCGGCCCUUGUUCUACAACACGAAUGUUUUUUAGUAUUUAUUUACUUAGUCCCCUGCAGAUGGACAGUUGGGUUUUUUCCCCUCUCCCCGUUCAAGGAAUGCUGCAGCAAUCAUGUGCAGAGAUCCCAGGGAUGGCAGAGGCACAAGGUGAGGGAGCUAUCUCUGAAUCAUCGGUCAUCAAGCCAGAGUGCCCAUUUUACAGACGUGGAAACUGAGGUCCAGAGACAGCUACAUAAGGCAGCAAGACAGGACUAAAACAUUGGGUUUACCUAACUGACUAUCCUAACUGUCUGAAUUCCUCCCUUGGAAGAAUUUUAUUUCCUUUUUCUUCCUGCGCCAUCGAGCACCUUUACGUAUCUCAGCCAAGGAGAGCUUUCCAUUUAGGGCAGGGUGGGGUGUGGGGACCUACUCAGAACAGAGUCGGUUUAUCUGCUACUGGUUUUUUUUGGAUGUGCCUGAUGGUGGACAGCAGAUGUGACUUCAAAACUGUCCUUUGGGUUCUUCUGGGCUGGGAACGUGCACUGAGGUUUCAGACAGACCCAUUCCUUGGACCAGAGGUCAGUCCACAUCAGAGAACUGUAAGGGUGGGGCUGAGUUCUAGGAGUUUCGUUGGCUGUCGAUAGCCUGGUGGUGAUGGUGAGAGAAGGCUCCAUACUCUUUUCUGUUGAUGGUCUCGAGAAACAAUCCUUGGCAGGUGUUUCCUGAACAUUUGCUACAUGCCAGAUUCUGUUAAGGGCAUAGCCUGCCUUAUCUCGUUUAAUCCAAAUUAAAUAAUCCACAGAUGUAGGAGUCAGAUCUGAAGUUCUUACAAUGGGCUAUGAGACCGGUGGUGUGUGAACAUCCCCUCUUACUCAUCUAACUGUCCACCUCUCACUCUGCUUCAGCCACACCAGCCUCCUGCUCAUCCUCCAGCAAGUCAGCACCUGCCUCAGGACCUUUGCACUGACUACUACUUCUUCUUUGAAUGCUCUUCCUCUAGAAACCCACAUGACUCCCUCCCUCACUCCUUUCUGAUCUCUGCUCAAGUACUGCCACAUCAGAGAGGCCCUCUGGAUCUUCCUAUAUAAAGUUUCACUCUCUAAACUACUGGCUGGCAACAUCUCUAUCUCUGGUUUAUUUUACUCCAUGGUGGACAUCCCAGCCCAAUGGACUUCGUAUAGGUCAGUCACUCAUUUUGUUUAUUGUGUGUUUCCCUCCCUGCCACAUGAGAAAAGGAAGCUUUAACUGCUCUGUUUACCUCUGGAUUCCCAGUCUUGGCACACAGUAGGUGCUCAGUGAUAUUUGCAGAAUGAAUGUACAAGGUAGGUGCCCUUUUAAAGACGAGGUUAUUGCAUUACGGGGUCUAGAGACGUGAAGGGACUCGUCUGAAAUCACACCCAGACAAGUGGUACAGUGGACUUGGACAUGGACUUGCUGGUACCCACCCAGGUCUCUCUCCCAGCUCUGUGGGCUCGUCCCCCCACCCCGCCCCCUCAUGCUUUCCUACUGAGAGCUCAACCUGUGGCUUUCAGUGCUAUCCCUGGUUCUGGAGUGGCUCUCCCAGAGAUGAGCCAGAAGUGCCUAGAAGCCUCCCACCUCCUUACCUGUCAUGACAGACGAGUGCAGAAGUUCAGAUAGAACAGACUCUGAGACGCGAUUCACACUGCAGGGCUCCCCAUAGGAUGCAGGCUCCUCUUUAAUAAAUCCUUGCAUCCAAGUUCUUGGCUUGGGGUCUGCCUCUGGGAGAACCCAUCCCACGGAAUCACUGAAUCCCCAGAGCCCAGCGAGUGCUGGUAUGCAGUAGGUGCUUCAUAAGUGCUGGGCAAAGCCAG